UGGCCUCCAUCUUGAAAACGGAAAAUAAAAACAGCAGACCUAUGAAGGUCGAAGGGGAAGAAAAGCUGUAUCGAUUGUUGAGAUCUGGCGACUUGUUUAAAUUUCAUCAGCCUCACUUCUAUGAACUCUCAGAGCUGAUUACCAACUCCUACCACUGUUAACCCUCAUCCAGGAACAAGCUUAUGUCUUUAACAUUCUGAGUGGGCUUCAGCAUCCUUGCAUAUGUUCAAUUCUUAAAAACCUGUUGAAAUAAAAGAUCAGGAGACAUAGGAAGGAUGCCAGAAGAGAGCGUGGCCUCACGUGUACCAGCUCUCUGCUCUCCUUUGCCUUGGGACGUUCCAUCCCUGGAAGUUUCCCUGCCCACAUCUUUGUAGAGAGUCCAUUCUCCAAGCUUCAGUGUGUCAUCUGUGAGGACCGUGACCCACCUGGUACAUCGCCUCAGGGCAUUCAUUUCAGGCUCCUUCUAAAUGGCCAAGGUAAACCUCAGGUUCUCCUCCUGCCUUUUGCUAAGUAUAUGUCUUGAUGACAAGCCUUCUGCUGAUGAGCUGUGUUUCUGGACCGAUCAUGGUAGAAGUCAAUUAACGUGUCCCUCACUUGGGGUUUCUCAAGGCUGCACUGAUGAGGAAACUGAAACAGAAAAUCCAGAGUAAAUUCCACCAGGCCACACAGCAAGGUCUGAUAGAGCCAGGAGAGACUUUAUGAAAUCCAGACUCUCACACUAAUGCUCUAUCAGCUAGACCUCCAUGUGAGUCUCCCCAAUUUUUACAGGUUGCAGUAACUGGCAAGGAAGAGGUGUGCCUCUCAGCUGUUCACAAUGCAGAAUCUUGAAAAGGUCAACAUAGUAGCAGUAUGACAGGCCAUGUGCACACAAUCCCCUAUCUCAUUGCUGGUGUUGCUAAAGAGCAUCUGGGGUAAGGAAACAUGCAUCCGGUCCAUCCGUCAAGAGUCCAUGAGAAAGCCAACAAUGUUUGCACCUGCAGGAUGAAUUACAUCUUUGGAACUGAAAAUGAAAGAACCAAAAUAGAUAUCAACAGAUAAUUAAAGGAACGUUUGGAAGUUUUUUACCUCAUGCAAACCUCAAACUCUGAACCACUACUGCCUAAAGGAAAUAAAUACUGUGUUAUGACUUUGAAAAAGUGAAGUGGCCAUGUUAGGAGGCCCAGAU
Molecule: long non-coding RNA, 1165 nt
Filed under: Homo sapiens (human)
Lineage: Eukaryota; Metazoa; Chordata; Mammalia; Primates; Hominidae
Description: HSALNT0306315
Source: RNAcentral